Molecule: ribosomal RNA, 1271 nt
Filed under: metagenome
Description: bacterial LSU rRNA
Rfam family: Bacterial large subunit ribosomal RNA
Source: RNAcentral
UGUACCCGUACCGUAAACCGACACAGGUGGAUGAGGAGAGAAUCCUAAGGCCGGCGGGAGAAGUGUUGUUAAGGAACUCGGCAAAAUGACUCCGUAACUUCGGGAGAAGGAGUGCCACAGAGAUGUGGCCGCAGAGAAAUGGCCCAAGCAACUGUUUAGCAAAAACACAGGUCUAUGCAAAACCGAAAGGUGAGGUAUAUGGGCUGACGCCUGCCCGGUGCUGGAAGGUUAAGAGGAGAGGUUAGAGCAAUCGAAGCUUUGAAUUUAAGCCCCAGUAAACGGCGGCCGUAACAAUAACGGUCCUAAGGUAGCGAAAUUCCUUGUCGGGUAAGUUCCGACCCGCACGAAAGGCGUAAUGAUUUGGGCACUGUCUCAACAACACACCCGGUGAAAUUGAAAUACCAGUGAAGAUGCUGGUUACCUGCGCCAGGACGGAAAGACCCCAUGGAGCUUUACUCCAGUUUGAUACUGGGAUUCGGUACUGUCUGUACAGGAUAGGUGGGAGGCUAGGAAAUGGUGACGCCAGUUGCCAUGGAGCCAACCUUGGGAUACCACCCUUACAGUACUGGGUUUCUAACCUGCAGCCGUGACCCGGCUGGGGGACAAUGUCUGACGGGGAGUUUGACUGGGGCGGUCGCCUCCGAAAGAGUAUCGGAGGCGCUCAAAGGUUCCCUCAGAACGGUUGGAAACCGUACGAAGAGUGCAAAGGCAGAAGGGAGCCUGACUGCGACACCGACGGGUGGAGCAGAUACGAAAGUAGGACUUAGUGAUCCGGUGGUAUAAAGUGGGAUUGCCAUCGCUCAACGGAUAAAAGCUACCCUGGAUAACAGGCUUAUCACUCCCAAGAGUUCACAUCGACGGAGUGGUUUGGCACCUCGAUGUCGGCUCAUCGCAUCCUGGAGCUGUAGCAGGUUCCAAGGGUUGGGCUGUUCGCCCAUUAAAGCGGUACGCGAGCUGGGUUCAGAACGUCGUGAGACAGUUCGGUCCCUAUCCGGCGUGGGCGUAGGAUAUUUGAGAGGAGCUGUCCUUAGUACGAGAGGACCGGGAUGGACAAACCUCUGGUGUAUCUGUUGUUUUACCAAAGGCAUGGCAGAGUAGCCAAGUUUGGCAGGGAUAAACGCUGAAGGCAUCUAAGCGUGAAGCCCCCCUCAAGAUAAGAUAUCCCAUCUUCGGAGUAAGACCCCUUGAAGACUACAAGGUUGAUAGGCUUCAGGUGUAAGUGUGGUAACGCACUCAGCUGAGAAGUACUAAUAGGUCGAGGGCUUAUCAAA